This 125-nucleotide ribosomal RNA is filed under the name uncultured bacterium. RNAcentral describes it as "partial 16S ribosomal RNA". It matches the Rfam family "Bacterial small subunit ribosomal RNA", at positions 380 to 524 of the family's 1533-position model. The record is from RNAcentral.
AGUCUGAUGCAGCAACGCCGCGUGAGCGAUGAAGGCCUUCGGGUCGUAAAGCUCUGUCCUAAGGGAAGAUAAUGACGGUACCUUAGAGGAAGCCCCGGCUAUCUCGUGCCAGCAGCCGCGGUAAU